UACAGAGGGUGCAAGCGUUAAUCAGAAUGACUGGGCGUAAAGGGCGUGUAGGUGGUUGACUAGGUUUGAUGUGAAAGCCCCGGGCUUAACCUGGGAAUGGCGUCGAAAACGGGUUGACUGGAGUGAGAGAGAGGGUUGUGGAAUUUCCGGUGUAGCGGUGAAAUGCGUAGAUAUCGGAAAGAGCAUCAGUGGCGAAGGCGACAACCUGGCUCUUAACUGACACUGAGGCGCGAAGGCGUGGGGAGCAAACAGG
Molecule: ribosomal RNA, 253 nt
Filed under: uncultured bacterium
Lineage: Bacteria
Description: partial 16S ribosomal RNA
Rfam family: Bacterial small subunit ribosomal RNA
Source: RNAcentral